Molecule: ribosomal RNA, 903 nt
Filed under: uncultured eukaryote
Lineage: Eukaryota
Description: bacterial SSU rRNA
Rfam family: Archaeal small subunit ribosomal RNA
Source: RNAcentral
CCCUACUGCUAUCGGGGUGGGACUAAGACAUGCGAGUCGAGCGUCUCCAGCUAUGGUGAGACGCGGCAGACGGCUCAGUAACACGUGGCUAACCUACCCUCAGGACAGGGACAAACCCGGGAAACUGGGGCUAAUACCCGAUAGGCGAGGGCGCCUGUAAUGGUUCUUCACCCAAAGGGCUUUGGAAGCAUGCUUUUCAAAGUCGCCUGGGGAUGGGGCCGCGUCCGAUCAGGUUGUUGGUGAGGUAACGGCUCACCAAGCCUAUAACCGGUACGGGCCGUGAGAGCGGUAGCCCGGAGAUGGGCACUGAGACAAGGGCCCAGGCCCUACGGGGCGCAGCAGUCGCGAAAACUCCGCAAUGCACGAAAGUGUGACGGGGCUACCCCGAGUGCCGUCCGCUGAGGAUGGCUUUUCCUCGGUGUAACUAGCCGGGGAAUAAGGAGAGGGCAAGACUGGUGUCAGCCGCCGCGGUAAUACCAGCUCUCCGAGUGGUAGGGAUGAUUAUUGGGCUUAAAGCGUCCGUAGCCGGCUUAGCAAGUCUCCUGUUAAAUUCAGCGACCUAAUCGUUGAGCCGCGGGAGAUACUACUAAGCUAGGAGGCGGGAGAGGCCGACGGUACUUCCGGGGUAGGGGUGAAAUCCUAUAAUCCCGGGAGGACCACCAGUGGCGAAGGCUGUCGGCUAGAACGCGCUCGACGGUGAGGGACGAAAGCUGAGGGAGCGAACCGGAUUAGAUACCCGGGUAGUCCCAGCCGUAAACGAUGCGGGCUAGGUGUUGGGGUGGCUACGUGCCACUUCAGUGCCGCAGGGAAGCCAUUAAGCCCGCCGCCUGGGGAGUACGGCCGCAAGGCUGAAACUUAAAGGAAUUGGCGGGGGAGCACCACAAGGCGUGAAGCUUGCGGUUC